This 1276-nucleotide ribosomal RNA is filed under the name Merizocera sp. 46 FL-2018. RNAcentral's name for it is "eukaryotic LSU rRNA". It matches the Rfam family "Eukaryotic large subunit ribosomal RNA", at positions 685 to 1864 of the family's 3401-position model. The record is from RNAcentral. Lineage: Eukaryota; Metazoa; Arthropoda; Arachnida; Araneae; Ochyroceratidae.
CGCGAGUCACGGGGUCUUGAUCAGGCCCAGAGGCGCAAUGAAAGUGAAGGCGGUAACUCUGCCGAGUUGGGACUCCUCUCCUUCGUCAAAAAGGGGGAGGAAGCACCAACGACCCGUCCUAUCCGAUCCGUUCGGUUGGGCGGAGUUCGAGCGUACGCGUUGGUACCCGAAAGAUGGUGAACUAUGCCUGGGCAGGACGAAGCCAGAGGAAACUCUGGUGGAGGUCCGCAGCGGUCCUGACGUGCAAAUCGGUCGUCAGACCCGGGUAUAGGGGCGAAAGACUAAUCGAACCAUCUAGUAGCUGGUUCCCUCCGAAGUUUCCCUCAGGAUAGCUGGCGCUCGGAGGAAUCAGUCUCAUCCUGUAAAGCGAAUGAUUAGAGGCCUUGGGGCCGAAACGACCUCAACCUAUUCUCAAACUUUAAAUGGGUGAGAAAUCCGGCUUGCUCGAUCGAAGCCCGGAUGAUUUUUUUCGGAUGUGAGUGCCCAGUGGGCCACUUUUGGUAAGCAGAACUGGUGCUGUGGGAUGAACCAAACGCCGGGUUAAGGCGCCCGAUGCGAGACGCUCAUGAGACCCCAGGAAAGGUGUUGGUUGCUAUAGACAGCAGGAUGGUGACCAUGGAAGUCGGAAUCCGCUAAGGAGUGUGUAACAACUCACCUGCCGAAGCAACUAGCCCUGAAAAUGGAUGGCGCUCCAGCGUCGAGCCCAUACCCGGCCGUCGAGGCAGAGUUGCGUCGGAACUUUACGCCUCGACGAGUAGGAGGGUCGCGGCGGAGAGCGUCGAAGGUGCCGGGCGCGAGCCCGCCUGGAGCCUCCGCCGGUGCAGAUCUUGGUGGUAGUAGCAAAUACUCAAGUGAGAACCUUGAGGACUGAGGUGGAGAAGGGUUCCAUGUGAACAGCAGUUGAACAUGGGUCAGUCGGUCCUAAGGGAUAGGAGAAAUCCGUUCCGAAGCGGGGCCUUGCUUUUUUGGCUCGUCCCGCGUGUGACCGAAAGGGAAUCGGGUCAAUAUUCCCGAACCCGGACACGGAGAAGGGGCCCUAGGGUCCAAGUGCGGCGACGCAACCGAACUCGGAGACGUCGACGGUAGUCCCGGGAAGAGUUUUCUUUUCUUUGUAAGGACUCGGUUCCCUGGAAUCGGCUCGUCCGGAGAUAGGGAUGCUGUUGUUCCGUAAAGCACCGCGGCUCUUGCGGUGUCCGGAGCGCUGCCGUCGGCCCUUGAAAAUCCGAGGGAGGAAGUGUGAUUUUCGUGCCGGACCGUACCCAUAUCCGCAGCAGGU